GACGAACGCUGGCGGCGUGCUUAACACAUGCAAGUCGAACGGAAAGGCCCUGCUUUUGUGGGGUGCUCGAGUGGCGAACGGGUGAGUAACACGUGAGUAACCUGCCCUUGACUUUGGGAUAACUUCAGGAAACUGGGGCUAAUACCGGAUAGGAGCUCCUGCUGCAUGGUGGGGGUUGGACAGUUUCGGCGGUUGGGGAUGGACUCGCGGCUUAUCAGCUUGUUGGUGGGGUAGUGGCUUACCAAGGCUUUGACGGGUAGCCGGCCUGAGAGGGUGACCGGCCACAUUGGGACUGAGAUACGGCCCAGACUCCUACGGGAGGCAGCAGUGGAGAAUAUUGCACAAUGGGCGGAAGCCUGAUGCAGCAACGCCGCGUGCGGGAUGACGGCCUUCGGGUUGUAAACCGCUUUCGCCUGUGACGAAGCGUGAGUGACGGUAAUGGGUAAAGAAGCACCGGCUAACUACGUG
RNAcentral lists this ribosomal RNA (468 nucleotides) under uncultured bacterium. Its description in RNAcentral is "partial 16S ribosomal RNA". It matches the Rfam family "Bacterial small subunit ribosomal RNA", at positions 28 to 507 of the family's 1533-position model. The record is from RNAcentral.